This 112-nucleotide ribosomal RNA is filed under the name Acanthosepion pharaonis. Lineage: Eukaryota; Metazoa; Mollusca; Cephalopoda; Sepiida; Sepiidae. The record is from RNAcentral.
UACGGCCACAUCCCGUUGAAAUACCGGUUCCCGUACGAUCACCGAAGUUAAGCAACGUCGAGCCUGGUCAGUACCUAGAUAGGUAACCGCUUGGAAAUAACAGGUGCUGUAA